RNAcentral lists this unclassified non-coding RNA (137 nucleotides) under uncultured fungus. RNAcentral describes it as "sequence contains ITS1". The record is from RNAcentral. Lineage: Eukaryota; Fungi.
AUCAUAUUUUAUUAUAUAUACAAUAUAUUUCGUUUUAUAAGAGUGGGGUUUUAAAUACAAGUUUUUCGCGAGACCAUGACCAAAGGUCAGGUUCGCUAAAAUCGGUAAUGAUCCUUCCGCAGGUUCACCUACGGAAA